AUUGAACGCUGGCGGCAGGCUUAACACAUGCAAGUCGAGCGGAGUGAUGGUGCUUGCACCAUCACUUAGCGGCGAACGGGUGAGUAAUGCCUAGGAAUCUGCCCAUUAGCGGGGGACAACGUGUGGAAACGCACGCUAAUACCGCAUACGCCCUACGGGGGAAAGCAGGGGACUCUUUGAGCCUUGCACUAAUGGAUGAGCCUAGGUCAGAUUAGCUAGUUGGUGGGGUAAAGGCCUACCAAGGCGACGAUCUGUAGCGGGUCUGAGAGGAUGAUCCGCCACACUGGAACUGAGACACGGUCCAGACUCCUACGGGAGGCAGCAGUGGGGAAUAUUGGACAAUGGGCGCAAGCCUGAUCCAGCCAUGCCGCGUGUGUGAAGAAGGCCUUUUGGUUGUAAAGCACUUUAAGCGAGGAGGAGGCUUACCUGGUUAAUACCUGGGAUAAGUGGACGUUACUCGCAGAAUAAGCACCGGCUAACUCUGUGCCAGCAGCCGCGGUAAUACAGAGGGUGCGAGCGUUAAUCGGAAUUACUGGGCGUAAAGCGCGCGUAGGCGGUUUGUUAAGUCGGAUGUGAAAUCCCCGGGCUCAACCUGGGAAUUGCAUUCGAUACUGGCAAGCUAGAGUAUGGGAGAGGAAGGUAGAAUUCCAGGUGUAGCGGUGAAAUGCGUAGAGAUCUGGAGGAAUACCGAUGGCGAAGGCAGCCUUCUGGCCUAAUACUGACGCUGAGGUGCGAAAGCAUGGGGAGCAAACAGGAUUAGAUACCCUGGUAGUCCAUGCCGUAAACGAUGUCAACUAGCCGUUGGGGGAUUUGAUCCUUUAGUGGCGCAGCUAACGCGAUAAGUUGACCGCCUGGGGAGUACGGUCGCAAGACUAAAACUCAAAUGAAUUGACGGGGGCCCGCACAAGCGGUGGAGCAUGUGGUUUAAUUCGAUGCAACGCGAAGAACCUUACCUGGUCUUGACAUAGUGAGAAUCUUUCAGAGAUGAGAGAGUGCCUUCGGGAAUUCACAUACAGGUGCUGCAUGGCUGUCGUCAGCUCGUGUCGUGAGAUGUUGGGUUAAGUCCCGCAACGAGCGCAACCCUUUUCCUUAUUUGCCAGCACUUUUAGGUGGGAACCCUAAGGAUACUGCCAGUGACAAACUGGAGGAAGGCGGGGACGACGUCAAGUCAUCAUGGCCCUUACGACCAGGGCUACACACGUGCUACAAUGGUCGGUACAAAGGGUUGCUACACAGCGAUGUGAUGCUAAUCUCAAAAAGCCGAUCGUAGUCCGGAUUGGAGUCUGCAACUCGACUCCAUGAAGUCGGAAUCGCUAGUAAUCGCGGAUCAGAAUGCCGCGGUGAAUACGUUCCCGGGCCU
Molecule: ribosomal RNA, 1360 nt
Filed under: uncultured bacterium
Lineage: Bacteria
Description: bacterial SSU rRNA
Rfam family: Bacterial small subunit ribosomal RNA
Source: RNAcentral